AACAUUGUGGACACGUCUAGUAUAUUUUCUAUUUUUUUUUCUUCAGCGGGUGGAGGACUUGGUACGGGUCCAGUGCUGGUUGAACCUAAAGAUAUGUCAUACGUGAGAUGGAAAUUCUGGGAAUUUGAAAUGGUAUCAGGCUGCUUUGGAGGGUUCAAAGUGGCAGUGUAUGUGGCUGUUAUAAUUAGCACUGUGACUACUAAAAAUGUGUUACGCGUCUCAUGUGGGAUUCCCUUCUUUCCACGACUUGCUAUUGUUGCAAUUUUUUGAAGAACUGACACCUUUCCUUUUAAAGAUUCGAUGGGGAUUGAAGAGAUGGAGGCUUUGGGAAGCGAGGAAGAGGAACCACGCAAACCUCCUGCUUUGCUUAUCAUAUCUUUAAUGGACUCCUUAUAGUCCACUCUCCCUUCAUCCAAUGGGUAUUGUGAUGGGAUAUCAAGUGCAGUCAAUCCCUCCGCAUUUUUGGCAUUGAUAUGGUCUCCACACAAGCGUUUCAGCAGUACUUUUACCACCUGUUAAUUAGAAUAUUCAUACAAGUAACCUUUGAGUAUAUAUAUACAUAAAUAAUUUUACUAGCAAAAUUAUCAUACCUGAGGUCUGUUUCUGAUAGUAGCAACAUGUAAAACAGUGUUGCCAUCAAUGUCUGCCCAACUCAGUAGUUCUUUCUCCCAACGGUUGGCAGCUUUAUGGCGGCUCCUUAUAAGCCACCCCACCAAGACUUGGAAAGCUUCAAACCUGUCAUUUUUUACGGCAAGAUGGAAAACCGUCUCAUCUCGAACAGUCACAUCUUCAAUAGCCUCGGGGCAAACCUCAAGGAACUUGAUCAAAAAAUCAACAUUUCCAUUUUGAACCACAUGAUGCAAAGGAGUGAAGCCCUCCCGCCCUUUGACACGAACAAGGCCUUCAUCAAACCUGAGGAGUCGAAGCACUGCUAGAGUUUUUUGAUUUUGCAGAGCCAAGUGCAUGGGGCUAAACCCAGCUUGGUUUAGCUUUCUUGCAAACGAUGGCUUUAAGUUGAUCAUCUCCAUCAUAAAAUCAAUAUGCCCUGCAGAAGCUGCUACAUGCAAAGGAGUAUGGAAAAAAGGUACAUCAUCGAUACGCUGUAAAACAUAUGGAUCAUUCAGAAUUAACUCAUACAAGAUGUUUAUGUCUCCUGUUUGUGCAGCACCUAUCAUCCUCUCAUCCAUAGCAAGGUGCGGAAAUUUGCAGAAUAUAGAAAUGGAGUGAAGAAAAAACGCUUUAGCAGAGGAUAUGAUUAUGUUAAGGAUAUAAUGAAGUGUUUGAUUAUUUUUUCCAGAUGAAGUGUUAGACAUUUUAUAGCACUUAAUUAUUUUGGAUUUAUAUGUGAUGUCAGCCUCUACACGUAUAUACGUGAAUGUCACCUAUUAGAAAGAAAUAGUAAUUAAAUUCAUAUUUAAUAUACAUUUUUAAUCUAAUUUUUUUAAUUCAAUUUAAUUUUAGUUAAAACGUUUAAAAACAUUUAUUUAAUCUAAUUUCUUUAAUAUAUUAAAUAAAAAAGAAAUAUUAAAUAAAUUGGAUUAGAGAAUAUAUUGAAUAUGGAUGAAUACUGUAUCAUACUAAUUUUAUGUCUCUAAAAAUUUUAUAUAUUAUUUAGUGGUUUAAUUUUUUAAGAACAUUUGAUAUAAUUCAUAAAGAAAACAAAUAAUAAUUAAUAAUAAAUUUUUUAAUAAAAAAGGUGUGAAAAAUGGUAAGUAGAUAAUAGCUAUUAUCGCUUACAACAUGUUUGGAUUAAAAAGAAGAAAAAAGAAGGGAAAAUUAAGUAAAUUGAGGGAAAGAAAAUUCGGUUUCUUUGUUUAAGUAAAGAAAAUUAAGUAAAUUUUUUAUCGUAUCAUUAGAUUUUAUAUUUUAGAUUAUUAUCUCUUCUUCUUCUUUUUAACUUGUAACAAUCUUAUUUUUAUUUUCUAUUUUUUUAGGUUACUAGAAAUAUUUAAUUUUAAAUUUGUUUGAUAUAUAUUUUUAAAAAUUUUAACAAUAUUUUUUUAUUAACUAUUUUGUUAAAUUAUUAGGAAUCCUUCAUUUAUAAUUUGGUUAAGAUUUUUUUUUUAGUUUGAUCAAAUAAGCUUAUUAAAAAAAGAAUAUACCAAUAUAUUAUUGGUUAACAUUUUAAUUAUUAUUUUAUAUAGAAUAUUGAUAUUUUUCUAUAAAUUUAAUUUGCUGUGAUUUAAUUUUGUUAUUAUAUAUUAUUUAUGAACUGUUAAAAUUAAAAAAUAAAAGUAAAAUAAUUCAUUUUCUUUCCUUUUCACAGUUUAGCAAAACAAGUCCACAGGCUCGUCUCAUUCAAAAAAAGUAAAUUAUAUAUAUAUAUAAGGGCUAGUUUUAACAAAUGAAAAAUAUAGAAAAACUAUAUUAAAAGAAAUGGGGAAGGGAAAAGAACAGAGGGAGAAACAGAAGAGAAUGAAAAAUAAAGAAAAGUUAAAAUAACAUAAAAAAAAUUAAGGGUGGGUUUGGAUGGGCGAUUGGGUGCGGUGCGGUGCGUUUAGCUUAUUUUUUGUCUCACACUACAGUGUCGCUACAGUAUCUAAUCUCACCGCCACCGCUGUUUUUACACUAACUGCAGGUAAACGCACCGCCCAUCCAAACCCACCCUAAAUUGAAUUGCUCAAAACGAAAAAAUUAUAGGAAUCGGUUGUAUAAAUCACCCUAAAAUUUUUGUUUGAAAGAUGAUUUAACAUGUCACAUCAGUUUAUCGUUACACCAUUAACGGAAAUUAACAGCUCAGUGACUAAAAUGUUACAACGUGAUAACGUAAAUGACUAAAAUGUAACGUUUCAAACAUAAGUGACUAAAAUGUAAGCAAAAGUGACUAUUUUAAUAAUUUACCCUUGCAUUUAUCCAAACAUACGCUUAACGUAAACAUUUUUUUAAUUAUUUUUAUUUUAUUUUAUUUUUUACCAUUAUCCGUUAUCCUUAUUUUUAAAAAGUAUAAUUAAUAAAUAGUAUAAUUAUUUUUUAAAAUUAAUUUUAAGUAAUACACCAAAUAGAUUUUAUAACUUAAAUUUAAUAUUUAAUUUUAUAAUUUUUUUUUAUCAAACAACGUUUACUCCUAAGUAAAUAAAUAAAUAAAGGCCUUGUGUAAUUAAGAAAGUUGAGAAAGAGUUAGUCCUCACAUUGGCUAAAAUAACGGAGGAAAGAGAAAAAUUGGCCAAUAAUGGGGAGGCAAUGUCAAUGAGCAUACCCCACACAUACUAUUUACUGUCAAUGGUGAUGGCUGAAUUGGCUACUAUACAUGGAUUUUGUUUUCCUUUUCUUUUUUGUUCUUGUCCUGUAUUAUUUGCAUUUGUGAUCCCAAACUAUGUAAAAUUCCAGUCACUAUGUGAUCACAUUUUAAAAAAAAAAUUAUUUAUUAUCGAUUGAGUAUCAGCUUGAUUGGUAUAAAUAUUAUUGUUAAUGUAUAAGAACAUAAAUUUGAGUGUGUUAAAGCGCAUUAUCCUCUUAUUUAUAGAUUGAGAAGUGGUUAUUGGUAGUUCUAGACAUUGUGUAGAAAAGAAUACAUAUAAUCAGAAUCUAUAUUAAAAUUUUUCAAAAAAAUAUAUUUAUUACACAUGAAUUAAAAGAAAUCUAUUUAUGGGUAGUUCAAGAUUGUUGAAGCUAUAAAAUAAAAAUUCAAUUCGAAAAUAUAAAUCUCUUUUGUUUAACAAAAUAUUAAUAAUUAGUUGAGUUAAUAUUAUGAGUCAAUCGAACACCAAUUUAAUUAAGAAAUUACGAAAAUAUCGUUCCAUAAUUAAAAUAAAUUAUAUUAUUUGAGGAUAUUUUAAUAUUUUUUAUGUAAAAAAAAAUCAAUAAAAAUAUGAAUAUGAUGGGAUUUGAAAUAAAAUCUAGAAUUUACCACUCAACCAAAAUUUUAUUUUAUUAUAUUUUAUACAUUUUUAUUUUAAUAAGCACACUUUAUUAUCUCCGUCAGUUAUAUAUAUAUUAAUAAAUUUAUUGAUUGAGUUGAUAUCACAAGUCAACUCAAUACUAACCGACAAUUGAAGACAACACUUUGAUAGACAGUUGUAGUGCAUUUAAUUAAUAUUUUUAUUUUGAUGUAUUUAUGUGUUUAAAUUUUAUUUUUGCUCCCAAAUUAAUUUAAUUUUUUAUUUUAAUGUCAUACAUAUUUUAUAUAUUCUUAUGAUUAAUUAGCUUCAAACCAUAUGUUUUAUUAUUUAUUUUAUUUUUUUAAGCAUAUAUCUGUAUUCCAAAUCUAAACGCAAUUGCUUAUGUUAGUCAAUGUUACAAAUUGAGAAAUUUAUUAAAACUAUUGAAAUCUUCACAUCUAACCUGGUUUUAUCAUGUUUGGAAGACGCUAUUGAUCUUCUUCAAGUGGUUUUUUCACAAAUAUACUAUUCAUAUAUAUAAAAUAUGAUGAGUAAUAAUGUAUAGUGACGUGUCCAAACACUAAUUGAUGAAAAAAGUGAGUAAUAUUUUAUUACAACAUGAUGCCUUUUCAUAGUAUAAAAUGACUAUGCGAAUGAGGGCUUCCUACCAUUACCAGAAAGCUGAGGCUGUAGGAAUGAUGGCUUUUGCAAGUUGUGAUUUUAGGAUUUUGUGUUUGAUUAUUGUUUAGUUAUGCUAAAAUGUCACAUAUGGGUACUGUUUUAAGUUAUGUGUGAAUUCUAAGUUGAAUAUGUAGCCGCCUAAAAUAUUUAGGAGCGCUAAUUGAGAUCAUUACGAAAGAAAAUUGUAUUCUAACGGUGUAUGAAAAUUUGGACAAAAAUCUCAACUUUUUAUUUUUUUUUAAAUUUUAUUUUUGCUCCCAAAUUAAUUUCAUUUUUUAUUGUUGUACAUAUUUUAUAUAUUCUUAUGAUUAAUUAGCUUCAAGCCAUAUGUUUUAUUAUUUAUUUUAUUUUUUUAAGCAUACAUCUGUAUUCCAAAUCUAAACACAAUUGAUUAUGUUAAUUAAGGUUACAAAUUGAGAAAUUUAUUAACACUAUUGAAAUCUUCACAUCUAACCUGCUUUUAUCAUGUUGGGUAGAUGCUAUUGAUCUUCUUCAAGUGGUCUUUCACGAGUAUACUAUUCAUAUAUAUAAAAUAUGAUGAGUAAUAAUGUAUAGUGACUGUCCAAACACUAAUUGAUGAAAAAAGUGAGUAAUAUUUUAUUACAACAUGAUGCCUUUUCAUAGUAUAAAAUGAUUAUGCGAAUGAGGGCUUCCUAACGAUGGCUUUUGCAAGUUGUGAUUUUAGGAUUUUGAUUGUUUGAUUAUUGUUUAAUUAUGCUAAAAUGUCAUAUAUUUGUGAGCCCUACACUCACAUCAAAUUUAGAUAUGACAAACAUGAUUUAAAACAAAACCAUAUUAUAUUACUAGCUGUGAGCAAUUUAAAGAAAUUGAAUUUCUUUUUUACAAUUUUAAGUUAAUCAAUUAUUUGAUUUUUUAAAAUUAACUUGAAUGAGUGAUUUUGUUUUUCAAGUUUAAGUCAAGUUGAAUUUUACAACUCAAAUAUAAAUAUCUCUUGGGUCACUGAUAGUUUUAAAAAUGUACAAACUGAUCUGUCUCAAAAAUUUUAAAAAUUCAAAAUGAUCUUCUAAAACUCAAAAUAUUUAUAAAAUAUUUUCCCAAAAUUUUAUAAAUACAUAUAAAUUCAAAGAAUUUACCACUUAAAAAUAUAUAAAAAAUAUUAAAUUAUAUUUUUUGAAAAAAUUAAUAAAAUAAAUUUGAGGUCUUAAAUAAGUAACUUAUUAAUUCAAUUUUAUCAUACUAAUUAUCUUGUAUUCCAAGAGUUUUCAUAUAUAUCAGGGGCGAAGCCAGAAAAUUUUUUUUUAGGGGGGCAAAAUGAAUUUUUUAUUUUUAAUAGUCUAUAUCUUUAUAUUAAUAUUUGAACUGGUAUAAAUUAAGAUUGUUACGUCUAACAUUUAUAUCGAAUAAUUUUUACUAUAGAGAAAAGAAGUAAAAAUAAUAAUAUAUGAUGUAAAAUUAUUAAUUUGAGUCUUAACACAGUCGGUAUUUGUAUGUUGUUUAUGUAAUAUGGAGUGAGUUCAAGUAUGUUCAUGUGUAAUUUUUCUUUCUAUUUAAAGGUUGGAGAGGAGUUAGGGUGAAGCUAGAAUUUAUUUUUUUUGGGAGACGAAAUUAAGUUGUAUAUUUUUAUGAGAGUUAAAAUACAAUUUCACAAUUUCAAUAGAUUAUAUGUUUACAAUUUUUAAAGAACUAAAUCAAUAUUUUAUCAUUUUUUGGGGCUAAAGUACAAUUUUACCAUUUAUUAACUUAAAAUUUUAUAAACUUAAUUUAAAGGGUUAAAAUUUGAAUUUCACAUUUUAAAGGGAGGGAUAGAAACCCUUCUAGGCUCCCCUCUUGCCGCCCCCCUAAGAUGAUAUAAAGUAAAGCAAUAAGUGUCUAAAAUAUAUGAAUUAUGAGUACUGAUUACACUUGACCAAUUGCUUUUCUUCAAACAAAGCAAACACUAAUGCACAUGAAAAUGCAAAUUCACAUGCAACCUAGAUAUGCAUUCUAUAUACAAUGCAAUGCAAUGAAUAAAUAAAUAAAUAAAUAUAUAUUAUUUAAUCAUGAGAGUUUUGAUCCCCUUGUGAUUCUUUAACCAACCAUUCUCACACCUAAUUAUAAUUCUAGUAUAGUAAAAGUACGUGAGUGAGUUGAAUGGAUGGUGGUUGUUUGACAUAACAUGUAGAAAGUGAAAAAAUAGUUGAAAAUAAAUCAAGUAUUAAAACAAAAAAUUUAUGAAAGAAAUUCUAGUAUUAUCAAUUUUUCGUGAGGCUCAAAGCUAUUUGGAACAAAAAUAAAAUCAAUGUGUAUAGGCUUAACAAAAUAGCUAUCAUCUUGCAUUGUUAUUUCAUCCUAACCUCUUCCCUCAUAACUUCAUCUUCUAUUUUCUGUUUGACAUUAUCAAAAGUAAAACAUAGUUUUUUUAGGUUUUUCGACUAUUUAUGCAUCAAACUUUUAGGCCAUUUUGGACAUCUUCAUAAUGUUUUUGGGCUUUAAUCUAAGAAAUAAAUUUAGAUAGAUCUUUCAAGUCACAUCAACAUUUCAUAAAUGAUUUAAUAAAUGAGUAAUAAAAGGAUUUAGGGUUAAUGUGCAAAUUUGUCACUAUACUUCAAUUUGAUUGGUAUUUGAUAUUUGAUAUUGAAUUUUAUUGCUUUAAUUUAAUUGAAUUUUGCCACUAAAAUUAGAAUUUUUAUUGAAUUUUCUAUUCAAUUUAAAUUUAAAAUAACUUGAAGGCUAAGUUGAUUAAAAAAUAGUUUUAUAUUUCGCUUUAAUAUUAAAAAAUAAUAAGUUAAUUAAUAUAAUAUUAAAUUUAAAUAAAAUAGUUAUUUUAUAAAAUAAAUUUUUUUUUCUCUUUUAUGAGAUAUGGACUCAUUAACAAUAGAAAUUCUAAUUUAAUUUAUUAAUUUUUAAUAUUUAUAAGUUAAAUUAUUGUUAAAUAUUAAAAUAAAAUAUUUGAAAGAAUUUUUCUUAUUAUAUAUAUUAUGUUUUAAAAUCAUCAAAUUAAUAUUGAGUGGUAAAAAUUAAUUAAAAAAUUGAUUUGGAGAAAUUUUUUAAUAAAAUUGAAAAUUUAUAGUAAAAUUCAAUCACAUAAUAGUUGAUUGAUAAAUUUACACAAAAACUUAAAAUAUAGCUAUGAAUAUCAAUGAAAAUAAAGUAUAGUAGCAAAAUUCAAAGUAUAGUGACAAAUCAUAUAAGUUCAAUGAAUAAAAGAAAUAAAAAAUUAAAUAUAUGAUUAAAAAGAUUUUUUUUUUUUUACGAAAUUGAAAGAUCAAAUAAAUCAUUAUACGUAAUAUAAACAAAAUCACAAGUAUCCUUAAACUUGGCUUAAUUGCCAAUUAGACAAUUUAGGAUGUCAGAUGCAUAAUCAACAAUUUGGAGAUAAAAGGAUGAAUAACCAAGUAUUUUUAUAAAUAAAUUUGUUUUAGAAGAAUGGGAUGAGUUUUAGAGUAUAUAGAGAAGUAGGGUAGUUCUUCCUUCUCCGCAUAGUGGUUUUGCCUACAAUAAUGAAGCAAAGGGAAAAACACGAGGAUGAGAUGCAAUGAAUUCCCCUUGCAUACCCAAUACGUACUAUUUACUAUUUCUUUUCCCACUGAGAAGUUGGUAUUUUGGAAUUAUCGUUUUCAGCUCUACAAAUGUUCUUGGUGCUGUGUCUGUCUUUCUUUGGUGGGUUCUUGCUUUCUGAAUCUGGUUCUACUGUCGAUUUGGAUGGUUAGGAUACAGCGCUUCAGGCAACUGAUGUUCAAAAGGUUCGAUGGCAUUGGGGAUAUGAUGAUUUUAAGUUUAUUGUCGCCCCAUCAGUUGGUUGUUUGGGUGCACAACUAAAUUUUAGUAUUAUUUUAUUUUCCAUAAUUAUAUUUAUUUAAAUUUUAUAAAUAUUUUCUAAGUCUUAAGAUUUUAUUUUUUGCAUUUUAUGAUUUCUUUUUUUGGAUUUUUAAUGGUUUUUAAAUUUUUAUAAUUUUUCUAAAAUGUUUUAAGUAUUUUGAUUGUGUGAGGUUUUGUGAAUGAAGCGAAGGGUAUCUUUAUUGUGGUGAACUUUUAAUUAGCUCAAAAUGAAGUGAUUUAUUACGUCGUGUGAUUUACGGAUAAGUGUUAAAAAUGAAAUGAAUUGUUGAAUUUGAAAACAAUGGUGUAAUAUUGCAGGGAUUUCCAACAUUAUCAUAAAUUUUAGUGAAUUUAGAGACGAAAUCACAGGUCCACUGAGUUUUGUUCAAAUUUAGGGAUUUCAUCGUCAUAUACGGUCGAUUUGGAUAGUUAGCAUACAAAGCUUCAGAUCAUUGAUGUUCAAAAGGUUUGGUGGCCAUGGGUAUAUGUUGAUUUUGAGUUUAUUGUUGCCCCAUAAGUUAGUUGCACUAAAAAAAUGGGUAUUACCGAUGCUAAAAAUUGUUACUAAAAUUUUAUUGUAGCAAUAAAAGUUGUUGCGGGAUUGUUGUGUAUAUCUUUGUUGUCUAAAAUAUAUGCAACUCUACUCAAUUACACAAUAUUUACUCUUAAAUAUGACCUAUUCAACCACCGAUUUCAGCACAUUAAACACAAAUUAAUAAUCUAGAAAUAUCAAACCAAGAAUUAAAUACACAUAAUUGAGAACAAUAAAUUAAGUGUUUAUUGCAUAAAAUAAAAAAUAAAUGAUAGAAUCCAUCAUAGAGUUCACCUCCCUAGGUAUUUAGAAAAUUAGUUCAAGCUUGAAAAUAAAAACAUCCAAGAAAUAGUACAACCAAAAGAAAUAAAGAAAUUCAUGAUAAUCUCCUAAGAAAUCAACUGAGAAUCUUCAAUCUUGACAGAAAUUUGCUUCCAACUUGGCUUCAAUGGUAUUUUUCGAGUUGUUUUCUUGAAUAUUUUAUGACGGCACUCUCAUAUCUUCUUAAUUUUGUCAUAUAUACGUCUUAGAAUGCCCAAAAAACUUAAAAAUUGUGAUUUUAUGCUGUUUGUGUGGCAAUUCCACGAAAUCGACACAGCCUACUACACACCAGUGUGGGUCAUACGACUGUGUGCUUUCCUCGUGUGAAAUUUAGAAAAUGCAAAAGAUUCCCUAUGCACUAGCUGCUGGAAUCUAAUGUAUGCUCAAGUAUGUAUGCGUCCAGAUAUUGCAUACAUUGUUGGGAUGUUAGGCAAACAUUUAAGCAACCCUGGUAUAGACCAUUGGAUAACAACUGAAAGGGUUAUGAGGUAUCUUUAGAGAACAAAAUAUUACAUGCUCACAUAUUGGAUGUUUGAUAAGUUAGAGAACAUCAAGUUUACAGACUCCAAUUUUGAUGGAAUAUUGAUGCAACAUUUUGCCACUAGAGUGCAAACUGUGACAAUAAUUAGUAGUCUCUUAUUCCAAUAACAAUAAAAGCACAUCAAAGUCAAAGCACAUAGACUUUAAGUUCAUAGUUGUUAAAAUAAAAGUUCAGGGUGGUUAGAUGUCUAUAAAGUAUAUUGAGACAAACUUCAUGAUUGCGGAUUCGCUUACUAAGGGACCACCACCCAAAGUUUUUUUCAUGAGCACACUAUUGAUAUGAGUGUAAUGUCAUUCACUACAGAAUAAGUUUUUAGUGGCGUUAUUUUGGGGCUAUAACUGCCUUAUAAGCGUCGCUAAAACAACUUGCGGCGUUUUGAAAAGCACCGCUAAAAACGCCACUAUAGAACAUGACCUUUAGGGGCGCUUUUCCCACAAAUGCCGCUAAAAGUAUGACCUUUAACAGUGUUUGUGGGGCAAACGCCACUAAAGAACAUGACCUUUAGCGGCGCUUUCUCCACAAACGUAACUAAAUGUCAUGUUCUUUAGUGUCGUUUUUAGUAAAAGCGCCGCUAAAAUUCAUGUUCUUUGGCGACAUUUGUGGAAAAAUGCUACUAACUUUAGCAGAUUUUUACCAACCCAUUUUCAUUCAUAUAGAAUCCUAAUUGUUAACAUAAUUUCCUGUAACAUCAAAUCCAACCAAAAACUAAAAAUUUAAAUGAUACUUCAAUUCCAACGAAAGAAAUAUGUAUGUGAUCUAAAUCAGUAAAUGAAAUAACAAAAUAUAUUAUAUUCAAAAGUUAUAUUGUUAAAAUAUUCUCACAAUAAGAAAACAAACAUCUAAGAUGAUGGAUUCUACGACUGUUGAAACAUCUUCAUCAUAUUCUGAAGCUGUAGCUGGAGUUUGUCAUAUUUUUUGCUUGCCCCUGCUUCCCUUGCUGCCGCCUCCGCUUUAAGUUAUAGUUGGAGUUUUUCAUAUUUUCUUUAAGUCUUUGCUUUUCUCGAUGCUGCCUCCACUUUAAAUUGAGCAAUUUGCUCAACUGUGCUCGCUUGCAUUUGAACCAUCUGGUCUCUUAACCUCUGAACUUCAGCUUGAGCCUGAUUCUCUGAAGGCAUGUAUUGUUGCGAACUGGAUCCAAAAUAUUGGGUUGGGUUAACAAAAUAUCCUUGAAAUCAAACCCGACCAUACUUUUCGAGACCCAAAACUUCGGUAAUAAUUCAGUUAUCAAUGUCAUCAAUAUUAACAGAACUAUCACUUGAAGCGAUCGCUUCAUACUCUGCCCUUUUAUCCUUUAGUUUCUCCUAAUAAAUCAACCAAAGAGUUAGAAACGAAAUAUAUAAUCAAAACAAAUGCAAUAUAACUUUGGGAGUCUAAUGUAUGCUCAAGUAUGUAUGUGUCCGGAUAUUGUGUACAUUGUUUGGCUGUUAGGCAAACAUUUAAGCAACUCUAGUAUAGGCCAUUGGAUAACAAUCGAAAGGGUUAUGAGGUAUCUUUAGAGAACAAAAUAUUACAUGCUCACAUAUUGGAUGUUUGAUAAGUUAAAGAACAUCAAGUAUACAGACUCCAAUUUUGAUGGAAUAUUGAUGCAAAAUUUUGCCACUAUAGUGCAAAUUGUGACAAUAAUUAGUAGUCUUUUAUUCCAAUAACAAUAUAAGCACAUCAAAGUCAAAACACAUAGACUUUAAGUUCAUGGUUGUUAAAAUAAAAGUUCAGGGUGGUUAGAUGUCUAUAAAGUAUAUUGAGACAAACUUCAUGAUUACAGAUUCGCUUACUAAGGGAUUACCACCCAAAGUUUUUUUCAUGAGCACACUGUUGAUACAGGUGUAAUGUCAUUUAAGGAUAUUUGACUUUAGUGGGAGUUUGUAUUUUUAAAUUUUUUUAUGUUACAGACACAUCGGUUAUCUCAGUUUACGAAUAUUAAGUUUAUUUUCUUUAGAAAUAAAGUUUAUUUGGUAAAGUUUGACCUCACUAAGGUUAAGGAGGACCAUUUAGAAUAGGCAUGUUUGAAUCAUAUUGCAUGUAAUUUUCAUGUUACACAUCCAUACUUGAUCUAUGUCAUUUGGUUGUGCUAAUAUAUGUUAUUAGGGAUGGAUUUAGUUAUGAUAUAUGUAACAAAAGUCACAUUCGUUCUAUGUUAACUUAAUUAAUGAAUGAGAUUAUUUGGAAUACCUUUUGGAUAUGAUAGUAAAGUUUUGAGCUCAUAAAUUUAUAUAAUGACAUGUAAUUAUAAGGUAAUUGGUAUAUAUAUGUGGCCAAGUGGUAUGGACAUCACAUAUAUAAUAAGCCUAAUUACUCCAAAAUCCUUGCAGCCCUUUAAUGACUUUUAAGCAAUCAUAACCAUUUUAUUUACAGGUCAUUUGUAUGAAGGAACUUUGUGGUCAUGAUCGAGAGAUUCGAAUUUAGCAUAUUUACAGAGAAGGAAAUCUUGUUUCAGAUUUCUUGGCCCAUAUGGGAUUCCGGCUUUGAUCUAAGUUUACUACGAGAGCCACCUGGAAAUGCUCUCUCAAUUUCAACUAUACUAUGUGAUGAUAUUGCUAGUUCUUUGCCCUAUCGCCUGUGCUCAUUUGUGGUUAAUUAGUUUGUAAUAACCCAAAUUUGCCCAGGCUUACAACCCAAAAAUAAACAGAAAUAAAACCCAAAAAUAAAUAACAAGGCCCAAAUAAUAAUAGCCCACAAAACUUAAAAAAAAUCCAGCCAACUGAAACCCUAAUGCCCUCAUAUACGCCGCACCUCCUCCUCGGACACACUGCUCGUACCUCGUCCCAAGGUCUGACUCUUCCCAUAACAGCCCAAUUUUCAAUGAUAUCAGAAACAAUGAUUUUGGAUCACUAAAUCUGAUAAGUAAGCUUGAAAAUUUAAUAAUUAAUAAUUACGGGUCAAGUGUGAAUUUAGAAGAAUUUUUGAAUUAGUGAAUUUUGUUAUUUAAAAAGAAUUUAAUAGGUAAAUCGGGUCUAAAAUGAGGUAUCGAGACCUCGAAUCCAUAAGUCAACACAUAAAUAUUUUUAUAAAUAUUUAUGGAGUGCCAUUGAGUUAGUAUUAAAGUUUCAUCAGAAAAUUUUAACGUUUUGAUAGUCAAUUAAUUAAAAAGGACUAAAUAGAAAAGAUGCAAAACUUGCUAAAGUGAUUAAAUAGCCUAAAAAUUAAAUAAGGAAGGCCUAAAAGAUAAAAUGGACCAAUUUAAGUGGCUGAGGUGGCAUACGGUUAAAAAAAUUAAAGAUUUUUAUGUAUUUAAGGGCAAAAUUGGAAUUACAAUAAAGUUUAUGUGGCCAAAAUUUAUUUUAAGGAUUUCAAGACCAUUUCUUCUUGAAAUUUCGGUGUAAAACAGCCAUGGAAGAGGAUUGAGAGCUGAUAUUUUAUAUUUUAGCUUCAAGUUCAAUUCUUGUUUUUCCCUUGAAAUUUUUAUAUUUUUGGACUUUUACAAUUAGGUCCAACUUAGUAUUCUAUUAGUUUUUUAUUUUGUUGAAAGUUUUGGAAGAUACCAUUGAUAAGUUCAUAUGAUUUUUAUUAUUUGGUGAUGAAAUUGAGAUGUUAAUGGAUGUUUAAAGGUGUUUUAUUAAAUAAUUUUGGAUGAAAAUAUGUUUUAGGGAUUAAAUUGAAAAGUAUUGAAUUUGUGGAAAAUUCUAAAAUUUUAAGAAAUCCAUGGGCUUUCAUUGACAUGUAUGCGAAUGAUUAGGCUUGUAUCAAUGAUUAAAUUGAAAUAAUUUCAUUUUCCGAGCCUAGGGAUGAAAUCGUCAUGUAUUAAAAGUUUAGGGUCAAAAUGGUAAUCAAUAUAUUGCACUAAAAUAGUUUUGGGUAGUAGUAGUGUGCCAACUUUGAAAAAUCACCAAAAACUGUGGGAAUCGAAUUAGAAGAUGAGUAAAAGAUGAAAUUAAAGCUUAUUGUGUCUAGUUUCUCAUAGAAGAAACAGUGUAAGCAAUGGAAUUAUAAAUCAUGAGAUAUAAUAAAUUUUGUGAGACAGAGUCAGAAUAAUUUUGGAAUCCCCUGUUCUAAUUUUGGAAAAUCAUUAAAAAUUGUAUAAAAAUAAUUAUGAGUUAUAGUUUAUAUGUUUAAAAUCCUGAAAGAGUUUAUUUUCAAGAGAAACAAACAAGAACAUCACCCAAACUCUGUACAAUGAGAUAAUUACUUUUUGGUGAAGAGAGGUCAGAACUGUCAAACAGUGAAACAGGGGAGAAUUUAAAGAAUAAACUGUAUUUAUUGGCUAAGCCAAAAAUUCUAAAAAUUUUAUGGUAAAAUGAUAUAUGAGACUAGUUUCUGGAAAAAUUAACAAAUCUUAAUUUAGAGCUUCGUAGCUCGAGAUAUAAAUAAUUUAGUGACUCUGACUCGGAUAGACAACUUUGAAUUUAUGUAUAAGUAAAUCGUGAAAAUAUAGUUAAUGUUAUUUAAGCAUGUUAUAUACAUUAAGGAUGUGGAAUGGAGAGGAGGAGGAGGAAAAUUGGAAAAUAUAUGAAUGACUUGUGUAUGAAUUGGUCAUAUGCCUGAUUAUAAUCGAUAAACGUUGAAUUUGAAAUGAUAUAAUGUUUUAUUUCAAAUAGUUAUUAUGAAAUUAUGAUUAUCAUUAUGUUACAAAAUUUAAUUGUAAGUUCAUAUGGCAGAAUUUUAAUGAUUAAUUGUUAAUUUCAUAAUUAUAUAAUAUAUGAUGGGAUAUAAUUGUUGAUGAAUUGAGAAUAAAAUAACAAUGCGAAAAUCGAAUAAAUGAUCAAAUUUAGUGGAACGUCGGAUUUGAGUACUUCUGAUCAGUGACAAGUGAUAUAUGAUUUCCGUGUAAGACCAUAUUUGGGAUAUGGCAUCGUUGUGACAUGUGUUUCCGUGUAAGACCAUAGCUCGGCUAUGGCUUCGGUGUGUGAUAUGUAACGAUGUGCAAUACCAUAGCUAUACUAUGGCAAUGUGGAAACAAAGUACUCAAUUCCAUAAGACGUUCUCUAAUUUAUCAAAUUGUGGUAAGUGUUAAGCAAAUUUUAUGUGAUAAAACAUAUUGAACAGUGAAAUUGAGCUGAAUUAUGUGAUCUCAUCAUUCAGAGAUUGUGUUUGAUAGGUUAUGUUAAUAAAUUAUGUGUAUGUGAAUUUAAGUGACAGAAAUUAAACAGCUAAUGAUAUUGAGCUCAUUUACAUGAAUCUGUCAUUUGAAAUUGUGAUUGACAGAAAGAAAUAGUGAAUUGAAUAUGAAAAUGUGAAUAGAAAGCACAAACUAAAUGUUCUUGCGAUAAAUAAUGGCUCAAUGUGAUAGUAAAUGAUGUUAAUCUAAUGAAAGUUAAAUUGAAUUGUAAAUGACUUGAAUUAUCCGAAAAUGUUCUAUAAUCUCUGGUAAUGUCUCGGAACCCUAUUUCGGUGACAGAUACGGGUAAGGGGUGUUACACUUCCCCUGGCCACCUUGCCUAGCCUUGUAAAACAAAAUAGAAGAAGAAGAUAGAAGCGAAAAUAGCAGGGGAUAGCAGAAAAUAGUAGCAUAAUCGGCUGUAAAAGCCCCAAUGAAAUGUAAUUUAUUUUUUUUCUACGGAUAAUCAAAUAUUAAGAGAACAAAAUAUCAAUCGAAAAUCCUGAAGGUUUACUUCUACUGUUGUUUUAAGUUUUGGUUCAUUUUUAUUCUGCCUUUUAUUUUUCAUUUUUUUACAUACAAAGAAAGGAAAAAGAAACAGAAAUAAAAUACCAUAGUUUUAAAACAACAAAGGAAUUUCUUUGCAUAUUUAUCGAAAAUAGAGCAUAUAUACAUAGAUAUAUUCAAAAAAACACAAGUUUUUUUAACCUCUGUUGUGACUGAAGAAGGUGGAACCAAAUGGUUUUUUUUCGCCUUUUCUGAAUUUCAAAGGGGUUUCUUAGGAUUUUAACCUCGGAUUGAGAUUUGGGAGGCCGAAUAGGUCGAAAAGGGGCCUUUUUUUGAACUCCGGUCGACGUAUACGGCGGCAUACGGUGGUGGAUGACGGUGGACGGACGGUUGCCCAGUGACUAGGGUACAGCUAGACCACGACCGGAGGAAAAGGGAUUGAGAGAGAAUCCCCUGAUUUUUUUUGGAAAAAGAAGAAAAUGAAAUUUUUAAAAAAAAAUUGACUUAACUAGGGCCCCUAAACGGCGCCAUUUAGGGCUGGUCAUAAUAGCCCUAAAACGAUGUCGUUUUGCCCAAGACCCGCGCAUGUGACCCGACCCGCCAGAGGAUCCGCGUGUUUUUAACUUUUGGGCUAUUUGCGCUUUAGGCCCUUCAUCAUUUUUGGUCUAUUUCAAUUUAGUCCUUUUGCAUUUUUUCUUUAUUUUUUAAUUUAGACCACAGAUUUGUCUCGGUUUUCAAUUUGGUCCUCAAUUCGUUGGACCCCUGGGGAGGAGAUGCGUGGCCUGGAAAACUGGUUUAUUACCCAUUUGGCCCUCCUCCCUCUCGCGCUCUUUCAUUUUGGUCUUUCUUUAUUCAUUUUAUUAUAGCUUUGACCUUUAAAUUUCAUUUUUAUCCCGAGUUAGUCCAUCUUUGUUAUUUUUGUUAUAUUAUUAAUUAAUCUAAUUAUUAUCAUACUUAUAUUUUCUUUUUAUAUUUACUUAUUAUAUUAUUAUAUUAUACUAUUAGUUUUGUAUUAUUAUUAUUAUUAUAUUAUUAUUAUAUUUAUAUUUAUAUUUACUUAUCUAAAUUUUAAAUAUAUUUUGUCUUAGUAUAUAUUAUUAUGUAAUUACUUAUAUCUUUUGUAUUUUUUUAACUCUAGAUUAUUCGCUAUUCUAUUAUUAAUAUUAUUAUUGUUAUUAUUUACUUAUUUAUAUCCUUUUUAUUUCAAACUUUGUUAUAUAUAUACAUACAUACAUAUAUUAUUUUUUAUAUUUUUAUAAUCUUAUUUAUUUUCAUUAUUGUUAUUAUUGUUUUACUUGAUAUUUAUUUAUUUAUGUGUCCAUUAUUAUUUUAAGAAACAUUUUAGUUCUGUUUGUUUAUUUACUUGUUAUUUUAUGUAUAAUUGAUUUGUCCCCUUUUUUUAUUUAUUUAUCUUAUUUUCGUUGUUGUUGCUCGUAUUAUUUAUGCUUACAUCAUUGUAUUUAUUAUUGUUUUGUUACGCAUAUUAACCCCGUGUUUUAUUUCUACCAUUUCGUGUUAGAUUAAUCUCAUUUGAUGCAUAAAUCAUGACUUUAAAACAAGUAAAACUAGAUAUUUUGAGAUCCGAAAAGGUCGUGCCCUAACUUACGGGGCUUUGAUUUUCUCGAUAAAUUCAAAUACACGAAUCUUUUCAAACAUAAGUUUUUUAAGUGAUCUCGGGAAUUAAUAAAAGAUCGGGUUCUAACUUACGGGACUUGAUUUCUUUUCCAAACCCGAGAUAAUCAAAUCGAAUAUCCUUCAAAUAAAUAAAGCUUUUGGCAUUUAUUCUCGAAUCAAGUAUUUAAAUAUAUUGUGUCCUAACUUACGGGAUAUAAUUCUCUUUCUCGAUUAACGCGAAAUAUGCCCUUUUCUUGAAAACUUUCAGCAUUUUAACAAAGGAUUGUAUUUUGAAUCUUUUCAAAGUUUCCAAUUCUCGACACUAAGACACUAAUUAAUCAACCAGGUACCAAUUUCUAGGCGUUAUGAGGGUGCUAACCCUUCCUCGUAUGUAACCGACUCCCGAACCCAUCUUUCUGAAUUUCGUAGACCAAAAGCGUUGUUUUAAUAAAUCGAACCGUUUUGUUAAAAAUAACCAUUUUUUGAGUUGACCUGAUCACACCUCCUCAAAAAAGGAUUGGUGGCGACUCCCAUAUUCAUUUUCGUUUUAAAAAUCCAAGUCGACCUCUUUUAUCAAAAAAUGGUUUCGACAUAGUUGUUAAGGCUUUUGCCUCUUUCUUUUAUUAAAAAAAAAAGCUGGGCACGAUGAAUCGACCUUAGCUAGUAAAAAACUUCAAUCACCGAAUUGCAUAAAAUUCUAACUUAAAUUCAAAUGCAGAAGCAGGAUCGUUUAUCAAUCCACAAUAUCAACAAAUCUCAAUUCAAACACAAAAUUAACCGGUGAAAAAAAAUAGUUCAACCCAUAAACAUUUACCACAAAGGGAAAUUUGAAACACUUACCACCAUUCCCCUAUCAGAAAGUCUUACCCACAUUCAACAACUAGAAAUCAGAGCUCACCAAAAUGUUUAUGACGAAGCCAUUUUUUUGAAAAGGGUCGACUUUUUAUUUAAAAACGAAAAAGGGAGUCACCACUAAUCAUUUUUAUGAGGUGUGAUCGGGUCACCUCGUAACGGUUUAAUUGAUUAAAAUAAAAAUUUUGGUCUACAAAAUUUAGAAAAAUGGGUUCAGGAGUUGGUUACGUACGAGGAAGGAUUAGCACCCUCGUAACGCCCAAAAUUGGUACCUAAUUGAUUAAUUAAUGUCUUAAUGUUGAAAAUUAAAAACUUGAAAAGAAUUUAAAAUACGAUCCCUCUUUAUUAAUGUUAUUUUUUAGUUAAAAUUUCUUGGAUAAAUCAAAAUGUGUGCUUAAGACUUUCUCGUCCCAAAGUAGCAAAAAUAUUAUGUCCCGUAAGUUAGGACACAACACUUUGAACUUUGGAGAAUGAACUUGCCUUUAUUUUUUAUUUUAAAUCUUAUUAUUUUGAUUUUAAAAGGAUAUUCGGUUAUUUGAGUUCAACGAGAGAAUCGAAACCCCGUAAGUUAGGUACGAUUUCCUGAAUCUCCAAAAUAUGAAUUAUUGCCUAUUCUUUUGAAAAUUUUCCAUUUUUAUGAAAUUGGAUGAAAAUUAAUGAUAUUUAAAAUGAUAUGCAAUAUAAAAUAAAAUAUUAUAAUAACCAUGACGUAAUUACAAAGAUGAAUGCAAUAUUGUUUGGUGGAAAAUGUUUUCCGAAAAAUAUUUUCUGAAUUUUCCAGCGUUUGUUUGGUGGAAAAUGAAUUCCUAAAGUAAAACAUUUUCCAAACACGGGUAAAAUUAGUCCCCAAUUUUUGGAAAACGUCUUACUAAUUUGGAAUCAGUAAGAAAUUUUCCCGUUCUCCCUUCUCUACACUCUCGUUCUCCCUGCCUCUCUAAACCAAUCUUAGGGCUCAUUGAGCUGGUUCCGGGCUAUUUUUCCCCCUUGAUUUCUUCUCCUUUUUAUAAAUUAAUUUGGGGCUUUUCAUCACUGUGUGUUGUUUUUGUCUGGGAUCUCUUGCAUGGGUUUUCUGCUAGUUUGGGUUCUCUGUGCUCAGGCUUUCUACAAAUUCUGCUCUUCCUCUCUUGCUUGGGUCGGGUUUUUGUUACCGUUUUGUAGCCUGUGGCGUUUGGCUUGUCUUGGGCAAACUUUCUUCGCUGACUUUCUUUAGAAAGGUAUAUUUUCUAUUUUCACUUCCAUUUUCUACUUAUUUUUUAGACGCAAAAUUUCUUAGCAAUUCUUUUAUCUUGAACAAACAAUGUUUUGAGGUUUUGGGUCGUUUCAUAAAGUAGAAAAGGAAUCGAACUGUUAAUAUUCUUAAGAUUGAGAAAUUGAGGACACGUUUGGUUCGCUGUAAUGGAAUAGAGGCGUAAUAGUAAUUCAACUGUUUGGUCGAAUGGAAUGGAAUAGAGCUAUAAUAGUAUUCUUGUGUUUGGUUGAAUGGAAUUAUGUUGUAAUAGCAUAAGGAAAAAAACUAAAAUGAGUAUACCCUUAGCAGAAUUUUUUUAGGUAGAUGAUUAUUAUUAUUCUUAUUAAAUUUUAAUAAGAUUAUUAAUAUAAAUAAUAAAUAAUAUAAUCAUAUUUAACAUAAUUAUUAUUAAAUAUAAUUUAAUAAAAAAUAUAUAAUUUAAUAAAAUUCUUAAUAUAAUUAUUCUUAUAUUAAUUUCCUAAAAUCAUAAUAUAUAAUAAUCACUACACCAAAACAGGUUUUUAGCGGCGUUUGGAUAAAAAACGUCGCUAAAAAUUGAGCAUUAGCUGCGAUUUACGUCAAACGCAGCUAAAGAUCGAGCAUUAGUGGCGCUUCCAAGAAAGCGCCUCAAAAAAUGAGCAUUAGCGGCGUUUAUCCAAAAAACGCCGCAAAAAACGUAAACCCAACGGCAUCGUUUUUGACCUUUCGGGGCUUUAGCGGCGCUUUUUCAAAAGCGCCGCUAAUACUCGGGUCUUUAGCAGUGCUUUUCCCAAAAUGCCGCUAAUGCUCUAGUCUUUAGCGGCGCUUUUUCAGAAGUGCCGCUAAUGCUCGGGUCUUUAGCGGCGCUUUGUCAAAAAUGCCGCCAAAGCUCGGGUCUUUAGCAGCGCUUUUUCAAAAAUGCCGCUAAUGCUCGUGUCUUUAGCGGCGCUUAAUCCCAAAUUGAUCCUCCAUACCAAAAUGAGUGGAAAUGAGUUUAAAAGAUGUCCAAAACAUUAACAUUUAAACAUUUGUUAAGAAAUUUUCUUUUGUUUUCAAUAUAAAUGGCUUAAAAAAUGAAAAAAAAGUCUUAAACUUUGUUUGAUUAAAAAUUUUCGUAUAUAAAAAGGAACAUAUUUAAAUUUAUGUGGAUGGUUUUUAUUUAGUUUCAUUAAUAUAGGGAGAUUAAAGAUUGGUGGAGAUUUUACCUAACAAAUUAUUAUAGAAAGAGAGAAGAUGGAUUUAACACCUUUUGAGAAUCCAUUCCCCAAUGAGUUGUAUGGUGUAUCAAUUACGCAUGUAUGAAUAUAUUUUCCUUCCACCAUGUGCUGCCACGAAACUUAGGGCCAAUAUUGUGGAUUCCCGGAGAAUUAGAAGAUAAAAGAAAACCUAUAGGAGAUUCUUGUAAGAGUUACUGGUUUAAGAUUGGUUUUGGAUUUUGUAGGAAAGAUAUGCUGCAUCAAUUACACAUGGGGAUUUAAUACAAGUUGGAUCAUUUUCCUCAUCAGCUAACAUUUUCUUAUGCUAGUUUAGAUCCAAAUCCACACACCCAAUUUUGAUUUGCGCUUCCAUCAAACUAAUUCUUUUUACUGUGAAAAACAUAUUAUUUCAGUAAUAAAUGUUGAAUCAACAUUAUUUUAAUAAUAAAUUAUUUUAUUCCUUUUACUAUAGUAUUUUUUUCCCAUCAUGUUGAUUUAGGUAUAGUUUGGAUAGACAUUGCGUUUACUUGUGUUUAGUAUAAAAACAACAGUGACGAUAAAAUUAGAUAAAAGUGAACUAAUCGCACCGCACUGGCCAUCCAAAUCCAAGUACCAUACUCUUCUUUUAGUUUUUUUUAAACCCUAAAUAAGAAAGACAACCUCAUUUAGCGAAGUCAUUAACCCCUUUCUUAAAUUUCCAUAAUAAAACUCAUACCCUAUUCAAAAACCCUAUUUUAACAAAAUUCAACUAUCUUUGAAUUAUUCGUAACCCUAUAUUUAUAAUACAGACGUGGUGAUCAGUUAGACCUUUAAUUACUUAACAUACUUUUUUUUUAUUGACUAACAUCUCUUGUUUUUAUUGACUCCUUUAAUUUUAAUUUAAUAAUUUUAUAAUUUAAUCUAAAGAGGUCAAAUUCGAAUUAUUUUUUUGAUAUAAUUUUUAAUUUAACAAGAGCUGAAUCAUACUUUAUAGGAUUUGAACCUUGGACGAUAGGUUUGAAGACCCACAUGCUACCGAACUAAACUAAUAUCACUUUCUUAUCAUAAUAAAUAAAAUUGUAAAAAAAAUCCUUUUAUUUUAUAACCCUAAUACAAUACAUUGUAUGUCGUAUAUAUAUAAUAUGAGAAAAUGAUAGAUUGAGCAAAAUUGCAUCAUAGGUUGUGUUCAAAAUUCAAAUUCUUUUUGGUUUAGAGGGUUUUAUGUUUGGUUAGUGAUAAGUUUUUUUUCUUUCGCAUGUGAUUUAUCUUUUCGAUAUGUAGGGUGAAGGAUUUAAAUUGUGGAAUGUUUGGUUUAUAUAAGCAGCUUAAGGUAAGAAAAGAAAAGCAAGAUAAAAUUUGAAAGAUGAUCCCAUUGUUGACUGAUUCAUUUACUGCGAGCUUCUCCCUCAUAUUGUAGCGACACUGAUGUACAAAAUAUUUCAAAGAUGUACAAAUUUUUCGAGUUUAAAAACUACAUUGAGUGUAUUUUCGUAGGAGUUCAGUUGAUUUAAAAACUACAUUAAAUGGUUUAGGAUUUAAGGUUUACUUCAGAUUUGUUAAAUGAUGAAAUUUUAUACAAUAAAUUAAUACUUUUAUAUUUAAAAAUAUUUAAUCUAAAAUAUUCGAUAUAUUUAAAUAUUAGAUUUAAAAAAAUUGAUAAAUAAAUAAAGUCACUUAACUAAUAAUUUUUGGUAGAUAAAAUAAAAAAUUUUUAACAGAGCAAAACGACGUUAUUUUAUCAAUAGAUAAGCAAUAAUGGCGUUUUUUGUAAAAACGCCACAAAAUUUAUUUUACUUAGAAAAAAAUUUGGCGCUGAUUUUUCCCAAAUUUUCCCCCUAAAACCCCUAACUUUGCAAACAAAAUGAAAAAAAGAAGAGGAAAAUGAAGGUACCAAAGACGAUUCAGCACAAAACCUCUCCAAUCUACUUACGAGUUCUACCGUUUGUUUCCCUGGAAAAUAUAUGAGACUUAAUAUUUUCUGUUCCAUUUUUCCUCUUUAUUUUCUAAUUUUGGGUAUUAUUUACUCAGAUCCCCUUUCUUUUUAUUAUUGUUUUUUUUUUCUCUUAUAUUUUAGCUAGAAAUCGACGAUGCAAGUUACUGCUGGUAACAAGUUAUUGCUUAAAAUUCAUCGUAACAAAUCUACUUCAAAGGAAGUUAUUCAUAUUCCUUCGUAUCGAAGCGAAGUUAUUUACGGUGGAACUUGGUUCUCCAGCUCUCGUAAGUUUGUUCCCAGUUUUGUAUUUGCCAUCUAUACCAGGUUUACCUCUCUUACUUCUCUUCGUCUUCAUCUCCCUUUCAUUUAUUCUACCAAAAACGCCUCUUACUUGUCAUUUUUUUCUCACAUAUCGUGCAAGACUCAUUUUUCUUUCUUUAUGCUCUAGUCUUAACAGUGCACUUCAACUGUUCAAUAUAAUGCUUCUUUAUACAAUUUGUUUCUGGUUUUCAGGGGGUGUUGUUUGUAAGAUGUUGAAGCAAGCGAUAUGGAAGGUGUUGAGCAAAAGGGUAGUUUCAGAUUCUGGUGAUAAACUUCUUUUGCCUUGUUUGUACUUGCCCACGACUUCUUUUCACGCUGGACAGGUAGGUACUCUUUUUUUUUCUUUUAACUCUUACUUUAGUUUUUUUUAUGGAUACCCAAUUGUUAAUUUAUUAAAUAAUAAAUCUUUAAUAAUAAACCUAAAUUUAUGGCAUUUGAAUUAUUUGUAGAAUUUGAAUCAUAAAAACAUUGUCAAGUAUCUUGGAUCAUUGAAGACAACAAGAAGUUAGGUUUUGUAGUCUCUGUCUGGAAUUCUUGCUCUGAAGUUUGUCUAUUUUAUACGAGUUGAGUUUUCAUGGUUUGCUGUUGCAUUGUUUCUUCUGUUCUUUGUUUUGUUAUUGGAACUAUUUCCAAUUGUCUGGUUUACUUGAAAUCCGAUAUUUGAUUAAAGGGACCAAGUAGAGAGCACAAGUGAGAGCGAAGGCAGUGCAAGUGAUGAAGUGCUUGUUGUUCCUUAUGAUAACUUAGCACCUAUUUCUUGUGGUAAUAUUUUCUCAUUAUUCUUCUACUUUUGAAUUUAUUGUAUUCCAAAUAUAGCAUCAAGAAAAAUAUAAUAGUACAUUAGAGUUCAGCUUGUAUAAUUUGUUUGGAUUCUUUCUGUCUUGAAGCAGAUAUUACUGAAUCUAAGCAGCUUUUAGAUAAGCUUGUUGUGGUGAAGUAUAAUAGAGCUUUGGGAAAGAAUAUGGGUUUCGUUGGUCCCAAGUAAGCAAUUAUCUAACUUCUGGAAGUUUGAUACUUAUUUUUUUCCAAGAAAAGAGAAGCAUUUCUUGAUGAUUCCAUAGUUAUAUAUUAAAGACUUGCCUCUACAUAAAUGAAUAUAGUUUCUAUGACAUACAUAUAUUUAUGUAUGCUUUUUAUAUAUGCCUCUACAUUCAUAUAUUUAUAUAUGCUUUUUAUAUUGUAUUGUGCCAAAUAAAGAGAAUAAAAGUUUUAAUUAUUGAUAGAUUCUGCUACUUUUUUUAUGUACUUUUUAUUAAAUCACUCUUUAAUCAAAUGUAGAAUUAUAAAAUUAUUAAAUUUUACUAUAAAUAAUUAUCCUUAUAUAAUUAAUUAUUUUAGUAAAUUUUCCAACUAUCAAAACAGAUCACUCCACCAUCCCACGUCAAAAUUUUGUUAAGGGUAGGAGUUGAGAGAGGUAGAUACUUUGAUGAAUAUUUUCUUUUACAUGAUAAUUAUAUACUUCUUUAAGUUUGUUUUGGAUGUUGGGACAAUGUCAGUUGAUGCCGAAAUUUGAUAGUGCUGCAAAUUGAAGUGUUUAAGUGCUGCAAAUUGAAGUAUUUAGUUGCUGCAAAUUGAGAUGUUUUAUCGCUGUAAUUGAGGUGUAUAAAUGUUGUUAAUUGAUAUGUUUAAGUGCUGCAAAUUGAAGUGUUUAAAUGCUGUAAAUUGAAGUGUUUAAGUGCUGCAAAUUGAAGUGUUUAGUUGCUGGAAAUUGAGAUGUUUUAUUGCUGUAAUUGAGGUGUAUAAAUGUUGUUAAUUGAUAUGUUUAAGUGCUGCAAAUUUAAGUGUUUAAAUGCUGUAAAUUGAAGUGUUUAAGUGCUGCAAAUUGAAGUGUUUAAAUGCUGUAAAUUGAAGUCUUUAAGUGCUGCAAAUUGAAGUAUUUAGUUGCUGGAAAUUGAGAUGUUUUAUCGCUGUAAUUGAGGUGUAUAAAUGUUGUUAAUUGAUAUGUUUAAGUGCUGCAAAUUGAAGUGUUUAAGUGCUGCAAAUUGAAGUGUUUAGUUGCUGCAAAUUGAGAUGUUUAACGCUGUAAAUUGAAGUGUUAAAGUGCUACUUUCCAUUGUCACCUCCCCCAUUUCUUUAUGCAUCAAUAACUAUAUUAAUGAAAUCAAGUACUACAAUUAUAUACUAUUGCAGAUGGGGGUUGGAGAAUAUGAUCAAGGGGAAAACAUCAGAUAUGGUGAUUCCUAGCCAAGCAGUGGCUUCUUAGACACCCAACAUUUUGCACAACCAAACAUGACCACAACUUUUAAACCUACAUGUUGAGGUUGCUACACACAAGUCCCUUCCUUUUUUUAGUUUAUGUGCUAUGUGAUGAUUGUGUUUUAAAAUUUAACUUGUUUUAGUUCCUUACAUUCUUAUACGAUUCACACUCAAGGAGCUAGAUUUGGAGCUUAAACUGUCACUGUAAUCAGUAAUUUUUUUUUUGCUUCUUUAAAUGCAUGCUCAUGGAACUACAUCUUAUGCUUUCCUAGAAUUGUAAGUUCAAAUAAGGUGUUGAUCUGCAAUUUAUACAUACAACUUGAGCAAGUUGAUAUGAACUAGUUUCAAUUUUUUUUUUUAAAUGAAAGGAAUGUUAUGUAAUCAAAGGCAAUUUGACUUGUUGCAUGAGAUAUAGUGAAAAACAUUUAUCUUCUUAUUCAUGAAUUUCCAUUUUAAUACGUCUUCAAAUUAAAUUAUACAUUUUUUAAUUGGUAGAAUCUCACUUUUGCUGUUGCUGCAAUCUUUAACCAAAGAAUGGAGUGAUGUAUGUACUGAUAACAGUUCUAAAGGAUUUGUUUAAGCAAGUAAAGAGAUUGGCGUUUUUAUAAUAAUUUAGGAUAGGAAUGGAGCAAAUCCAAAGAAUGGAGUGGCAUUUUUAUAAUAAAUUUUUUUAUUUUUCGUGACCUUUACUAGCGUUUUUGGAGAAAGCGCCGCUAAAGGUCUUGUUUUUUAGCGGCAUUUUUGGGAAAAGUGCCGCUAAAGGUCUUAGUCUUUAGCGGUGUUUGUGGUAAAAGCGCCACUAAAGGUCUUGGUCUUUAGUAGUUUUUGUGGGAAAAGUGUCGCUAAAGGUCCUGGUUUUUAGCGGCGUUUGUGGGAAAAGCGUCGCUAAAGGUCUUGGUCUUUAGUGGCGUUUGGGGGAAAAGCGCUGCUAAAGGUCUUAGUCUUUAGCGGUGUUUGUGGGAAAAGCGCCGCUAAAGGUCUUGGUCUUUAGCGGCGUUUGGGGGAAAGCACCGCUAAAGGUCCUGGUUUUGAGCGGCGUUUGUGGGAGAAGUGCCGCUAAAGGUCAUGGUCUUUAGCUGCGUUUUUUCCGGCUAAAAAAGUGCCGCUAAAAGCCUGUUUUGGUGUAGUGAAUAUAAAAAUAAUAUAUAAUCUCAUUUAUUAUUUUUAAAUCGCAAUACAUAUUUAAUGUGCUAAAAUAUCAUUAGUGAAUCAAAUAAUUUAAUUAUUCUACAAAAAAAUAGAAGUAAUAAAUAACUUGAAAAUUAUAUUUUGCAUAAAUAUAAUAUUCAAAUAUUAACAAACAUACCCUAAAUCAAAUUUCAUGUAUAAUUUUAAAAUUUACCCCAAAGAUUUAGUGUACUUCUUGACCUGAACUUGACAAUUAAGUUUAUUUUAGUACUUGUAUAUUUUUUGUCCACUUUAAUAAUUGAACUUGACAAUUAGAUAUAUUUUAAUCUUUGAACUUGAAAUAUAUAAAAUUUUAUUGACAUAACACUUUAAGAUUGUCUCACAUCAUUAAAUUUGGACGGAAUAUAAAUUCAUAGUCAAAAUAGACCUACUUGUAAAGUUAGAUACUAAAGUAGACCCCAACAACAUAUAUAAGUAUCAAAAUGAAACUAGCUUACAAAGCAAAACUUCGUAUAAAAGAAGAUAAACAAAUUGUGCUACUUGAAGGGAACAACACUGGCACUGGAAAAACAUUCCGUGUUUGAGGACAUAAAAUCUCUUAAGCACUGCGUCCAGGUUAUGAGCUACUCACAGCAACACAGAUCGCUGGGAAAUAGUGUGCCAAAUUACCUUUUGUAUCUCUUCUUGGAACCACAUGGACAGGGAGCAUUACGGCUCAUUUCUCCACUCUUUACCAUAUUAAACUUGGUAAGAUCCAAUGGUGUUAAACCCGUUAGCUUUUGCACCUGCAAAAGAUAAAAAAAAACUAAUGACAUUUCCAAUGGAGAAAGAGAGAGAUGCAUAAACUAAUACUUGUCAUUGAUGUUUUAAACUGUGGGAGAAACAUUCAUCCGAACUCAAAUGCGAAUUUCAGCAACUGAAGAUGAAUGAAGGCAGACAUCUCAGUCUUUUAAGCAAUCUGGCAUUGAACCAAAAAAGCAUAACGCAGAUCAGCAGACCAAACAUCUGUAACUCUAUGUUAGUUCGACUCUUUCUUUUCCUUUAUGCAUCCAUGUUUGAUGCAAGUCUGGGACCAGAAUGAAUAUAGGGAGAUAAUCCUUUAAAAAUCCUCCAAAUACAUUAAAAAACUUGGACAAAAAAUGAACACAACACACCCGUGUCAAACAUAUAUAUCAGACACUCAAACUAUAGUCUGAACAACAAGAUAUACAAUCAUCAUUUUGACUCAGAUAAUAUGCAUAACUAACUCCCCUACCUUCUUAGACAAAUAUCUUACUUAUCUUUCAAAUAGCUCAUCCUACAUUCAACAUCAUAUUCACCGAGCAGCAGCCAAAAGACAAAAAUACAUUAACUUAGAGAAUUUAAGAUCAGACAAAUUGAGCAAUAGGCAUAAAGACACUAGCUCAUACGUUUUAAUCAUUCAACAUAUUAUCAGCAAAAACAUAACUGAAAAAAACCAGUGGUGAACCUACCACAGCAAAGUUCUUUGGCAUCGGUUUGCCUUCCUCUUUCAGCUUAACCAUCUUCUUAUGAACUUCUUUAGCCCAUGUGAACUUCGCAAGCGCAUUCUCAACAUAUAAUAAGGUACAAUCACACUGUUUUGCAGCUUCUUUCUUUUGACUCAGUUGGAGAUUCUAAAAAAAAAGUCAAAAUCUAAAUCCACAAUCAGCGAAUUCACCUACAGGGCUCCAACCAUGUUUUAUAGUUUGGACGAGAAAAGGCAGCACCUUCUUACAUGCAAUGUCAGUGGUCAACAGGACUGGAAUGCUCGCCUGUUUAUCAUGGUGGAAAUCAAAUUCUUAUAUAAAACAUAGUUAACAUUUCUCAGCAUAAAGCCUUCAUCUUUUGUGCAAACAAAUUUUAAAUUAACAGAACUCAACUAGUCGAAAUCACAAGCCAUUCAAAAAACAAUAGAAUCAGACAAACAUGUAAUAGAAUAAAAAUUUUCAUCUGUUCAAUCUGUUCAAUCGAACAAACAUUGAAAACAUUGAAAGAAUUUUCAUCUGUUCAAUCGAACAUGCAAUACAAAGAAAAGCUGAAUGGAAAACGCUAGAAACGAAUCAAAAUUAGGAGAACAAAAACAAAUAUUCCAGAUUUGAGCAAAAGCAAAACUAAAUCGAUUUUACAGAAAAGAGAAGAAAAGAAAAACAGGGAAAGAGUGUGAGAAUUUUUCGUUGUUGAUAAAAUGGAGAAAAGAAAAAAAACGAGAGAAGAAAAGAAAUGUACGAGAAUAAAAGAAGCAGAAAUCGAUGGAAGGGAAAAAAUUACCUUGCAAAACGUCGGAGAGGAUGAGCGCAGAAAACGAAAAAGAUGGUAACAAAUUGGGAGGGAAUCCCUAUUCCGCGCUUAAACAUCAGAAUGGCUAUUACAGCCAACGUGGGUAAUAGAUGCGGAACGGAACCAAACAUCCGUUUGGUGGUGGGCCUAGGGAAUUGGGGGGAAUGCAUACCGAUUCCCCCCAACCAAACAUACCUUGAGUUUGUUCUCUUAAGAGGAAAUGGUAAUGAGGUGUAAAAGCCAAGAGGAAAUGAUUAUCUUUACCGCUAGAAAUGAACAAGGUAUGUUAUUCAUAUUUUUCUCCGGAUGCAGGUUUUAAUUGGGCAAUAGUUUUACUUUUGUUAUAGCUAGAGGUUUUACUUGUCAUGCAUCUUACUGCAUUUGGUUAGUUUUAUGUUUUAUUGUUUUAUCUUUCUGGCAUUUUAUAUUUAGUUCUCCUAUUUUUUUAGACAAUUUCUGCAACAUUGGUUUCCUAUGACGUGAUAGUAUUUUUUUGUUGUAGUAGUGAUAACAUUUGUGGUUGGCAAGAUUCCUUUAACACGGUUUAUCUGGAAAGGUCUAUCUUUGGGUUGCUGAUAGUGUCACCGAGUGAAAUAAAUGCUAGUUGUGGCUCUUAUGAUUACAAACUAUUAGCUUAUUGGUAAAUUGAAUGUUCAGAUGUCAUGACUGAUGUAAAUUCACAUACUUUUAAACAUUGUGCAUCUUCUAAUUUUAUGAAUUUUAACAACAAAAAGUUUUCUAUACAUAAUGAUUAUUUGAUUACUGUAUGUUUGAUCUUGGAUUUCUGUUGCUAAACAUGAAUUGGAAUAAAAUGAAUGCUAGUUGUUCAUUUGAAUAACAAGAAUGAAAUAAAUGCUAGUCAAGGCCUCUAAAAGACUAAUUUAGUAAUUUGGCUGAAUUGAACCCUUAUAUCAUUAGGGAAUAUAACAGAAGAACUACUAAUAGUUUGAAUAGAACAUAAUGAACUGAUUAAUAAUACAUUUAAGAGGUAUGUUAGUAGCUGCUAGUCUCUAGUUCCUUGAGAGUUUGGUUGUUCAGAGUGUCGUCUAGGAUUGUAUUCUGUGCUGUCCAUGCAAGUGUAAUAAGAUUGACUAAGGUCUUUUCCCUUUGAAAUUGUUGAUCACUCAAUUAAGCUCAGUUGACCGGCUAUCAUGUCCUUGCUCAAUUAAGCUCUGCCAUAACUGCACGAAAGAACAACAAUUCCAUACACUCAUUACAAAGAAUACAAGUAGUGGAGUUCACGGACUAGACAAUUAAAGAGAACUUUACACAUGUAACCAAAUUCACCAAUAUGAGCAUUGAUAUCUCAUUUUUAUGAGAUCUUAUUAGAUUAUUGAUUAUGAAUAUGUUUACUCGAUCAUUUCAAGAUCAUGGUUUCAUUACAUGGAGUUGUUUGAUGGUGAAGGCAAUAAUACAUUUUUAAGAUUACUGCAGCCAAAAGAGUUGUUGCAAAGGAGACCAAAGUCCAGAACUCUUUUUCUUUUGUGCUUCCACAACUGAGUUCUCCAUUACCUCAACUUUCAGCUUCAAAUCUUGAGCUACUUGUCUCUUUCUGUCAUUGAUUGUUACUUUUAUGUGGUCUAAUAUUAGUUAUGCACUUGGACAAUGUUGUUGUUAUUAUGUGGUGUACUACUAAUUAUGCAUUUGGAUAAUAUUAUUAAUUUCUAGUAUUAAUUGUGGUUUGGAAGCUAAUUUAUAAUUAUUCAAUCCUUAUUUUUUAUUUUUUAACACAAUUAUAAAUAAUUUAUUUGACUUUGGUUGUUUUCAAUUUAUGACGGUUAAUAUUGUAGCUUAAUAAUUGAGUAUUUUGAUUUAUUUAUUUAUAAAUAAAUCAUUUCAAUAUAUGUAAAAAUAAUUUAAAAUAUAAAAAUUUAUUAAUAUGUAUAUAAAUUUAUUAAUAUAUGUAAAAACAACUUUUUCGGAAAAUAUUUUCAGGAAAUCUACCAAACAACAAAAAAUAUUUUACACAGAUUCAUCCAAACACUAGAAAAUAUUUUCAGUAAAUCAUUUUCCAGAAAAGUAAAUCAUUUUCAGGAAAUCAUUUUUCGAAAAACAUUUUACUGGCAAACAAACGAACCCUUAUUGCUCAUGGUCAUCAACCUAUAAACCCAAGAGCAUUAUUAGCUUCUAAAUCCAAAACACUAAUAUCAGCAUCCAACCCAACAAUGAUAGUCUUAUUGACUCAUUUAAACAAGUUUCCUUUGUCAAUCUAUAUUCUGUAUUUGGUAAUCUCCAAUAUGAUUUCAGAACAUACGAUAGUUGGAAGAAGAAUAGCAGCAAAGAUGCAAAGGGAAAUGACUUAUACGAGGAGGAAGAACCAUCUUUUGGGUGCAAACCUGUAUACCAUAUAAUAGGAUGUCCUGUAUAAUGUCACGAGAGCUAGUACCGUUGCCAAGCAGUAAUUACUAAUGCUAAUAUGAUGAACAGAAAAGGAUCCAGCCGUAAGAUAGUAUGGAUACUGAAAUGCGAGUGUCCGUAUGGAAACAGCAACUAAAAGCAUGUAACAGGUCCCAAAACAGGUCCCAAACAAGGAAAGUGUUAUGAGAAUCACUACACCAAAAUAGGCUUUUAGCGGCGCUUUUUUAGGCCUUUAGCAGCGCUUUUUAGCGCCACUAGCGCCGCUAAAAACGCCGCUAAUGACAGUGUCGCUAACUUUAGCGGCGCUUUUUCCACAAACGCCACUAAAGACCAAGACCUUUAGCGGCGCUUUUACCACAAACAUCACUAAAGACCAAGACCUUUAGCGACGCUUUUCCCACAAACGCCGCUAAAAACCAUGACCUUUAGUGGCACUUUUACCACAAACGCCGCUAAAGACCAUAGCUUUUAGCGGCGCUUUUCAAACAAACGCCACUAAAAAUAUAUCUUUUAAAAAAAUUAAUUUUUUUCAAAUAAUAUUUAUUUCUAUAAUAAAUAUUAUAUUAUGUUUUAAGGAUAAAUAAAAAAUAUUAUUUAAAUUAAAUUUUCUACAAAAAUUUUAACUUUAAAACUAAAUAUAAAUAUAAAAAUUAAUGAAUUUAAAUUUAGAAUUUAAAAUAAUAAAUUAAUAACACAAUUAAAAUCCAAAAGUUAGAACACUUAAGUAAAAAUAAAAAUUUAGAAUCAAAACUAAAAUAAAUGAUACAUAUGCAAGGUAAUAAAAUAUACAAUGCAUUUUCUUAAUCAAGUAAAUCUUGGUUACAAAACUAACACAGAAAAUAACACAGUAUACAGUAUGUUUUGUCUUUCACAUUUUAAAAAUAAUAAUAAUAGCAUGUUUGUUUGCAUGCUACCAUGAUCAAAACACAAAAAUGAAGUUCUCCACCUAAUACAAAUUUCUCCUACGAAUGUGCAGAAUCAGAUCUCUAGAUUCUCGGAGUUCUUCAUCUGGUGCUGUCUCGAUGGUUUUGAUUAUUGUGUCAUCUAGCUGGAUUCAAAAAAAAGAAUAGAAUGCAAAGCAUGUUAUACAUUUGGACUCCAAAUUUUUAGCAACUCAAAAGAAUGCUAAGAAUGUUGUCCAACCUUCCAGUACUCACAAGGAUCUUGAAUAAAAAUGAAAUCAGACCUCACCACUUCAUAUAAGAAGCCUACACAACUAAUUACACAAAAGAAAAAGAUGAGAAAAAAUAACAAUGUAAAAAAGACGUUUGAAUGAGAUAAUAUAGAACCCAGAGUUAACUCUGUGAAUACCUUCACUUUAGAGUGGGUGUACACAGUUCGAUAAAGAUCAGCACGAGUAGCAAAUAACUUGUGGAUACUAAGAUCUAGCAAGAGCACCCAUUACCAUUAUUAAGGAGUAAAAAAACACUAAAAGAACUAAACAUGUAUUUUGCAAGUAAAUGAAUUAGAUGAUACUAACAGUCUUUAGCACGAUAGCAGAUCUCAUCACCCAAAACUCGCAGUCUCCAUGAACCUGCAGGUGGUGUAGUAUGUAUAUUAAGUUUCACUUACUUAUCCACAUCAAUUCCAUUCUAACCAUUUGCAACAAUAUCAUAUAAGAAUUGCUUCUCCUUUGCACUCUUCAAAGUAAGCACAAAAUAGUGUAUGUGUUAGAUAAAGAAAAGAAACAAAGAAUGUUUGUACUUCAUACUGGAGCAAAAUAUAAAAAAUCCAGUGAUCAACAUGUGCCUACACUUAAAAUAUAAAAAAUCUAGUGAUCUACCGAAAUUAAACUAUUCAUCAAAAUGAUUGCAAUUAACUGAGUUAAAACAUGAUUUUUUUUCUUUUCUUGCAAAUAUCUAAAGUUUUUUAUACCUUCCCAAAUGGUGAAACAAGCUGGUGAAGUGCUGUAAUUCUGUCUCCUAAUUUUUCUUUCCUCACCUGCCAUAUAACAUAUAUAUGUAUAUAUACAAGUCAGAAAAAAAGAAAAAGUAGGUGAUUAAUUUACUAUUUUACUUUCACUUAAACUAUAUUCUCUUUUUCAUACAUUAAUAGAAUAUGAUAGUUACAGCAAAAAAAAAAGAAAAAGAAUCAUCCCUCUAGAAAUCGACAACCAAACAAGGACAACAGUUUUUACCACCCCACAUGUAUUUUGUGUAUGUGUAUAUAUAUAUAUGCUUGUGAGUGUGCGUGUGCGUGUGCGUGUGCGUGCAAUCUGUAUUGAGAUAAAAAAAAACAUAUAUUUAAUUAUAUAAAAAUUAUGAUAAAAGUAUCAUGGAAGUCCCUGUACUAAAAGGUGGAUUACAUUUUGCCCUUUUACUCAAAUGGUUUAAUUUAAACACUCAUUCAACAGCUAUUACCUAAAAUGCUACCACUUUUGAGGUAUAAAAUCAGUGGAAGUCUAAAUGAACAAAGUCCUAAGCCAAUCAAAACAAAGUCACCAAGAAAUGAAAAAACAAUCUGUUCUUAUCCUUUCGAAACAGUGACCAAAUACAAUGAAUUCAAAAGGUUGUCCUUUUCAUAUCUGCUUAUCAACCAAAUACGCAAUGAGAAAAAAAAAUCAUGAUCCGCCAGCAGAAAAGCUUGAAAUUUGAAUGGAUCAAAUGAAACAUAAAUCUAAUGUAAAACACACCUGGAGAAAGCUUAAAAGAAGAGCUUUGAUGAGAUUUUCUGGUGUGAGCUCUGGCUGACGCUGCUGAUAUCUUCCUUCUAACUUCCCCAUUAUCGUCCCUCAAAACCCAAUAAUCUGUAAAACGAAGACUCCCCCAAAUUACUUCAGAUGUCUCUCUUAAAUUCUAUUUAAAAAAAUUAAAAAUCUAUAAAAAAAAUCAGUUACUAUAAAAAAAAGAGAUAAGUGUGAAUUAAAAAUAUAAUCCCAAAUACUGAUUCAAUUGCAGACUGGGAUUUAUUUCUUACCUCAAAGGUACAGCAAUGGUUGUAACCUCUGUAACCUGUUUGUGAAACCUCUGUAACCUGUUUUACUAGUAAAGCCGAUAAUAAUCCAGAAACUGGUUGUAACCUCUUUGUAUUUGCCUGGGAAACCAGAAAUCUUCUCAUUAUCAGCAUAUGUUGAUUUUUUUUAUAAUGUCGCAGGGAGGGAGGGAGGGACAGAAAGCAAGAGAGACGGCGAAGAGUUUUAGGAGGGAAAAUUAGGGGUUUCGGGGAAAUUUGGGGCUAAAAUGGGGGGAGAAUUUUUAAAAGUGAAAUUAGGGUUUUUAGAGGGAAAUUUUGGGAUAAAACGGCGCCAAGUGAAAUUAUUUUUGCGACGUUUUAAAAAAAAAGCCGGGAAUGUACCUUUUGUGGAUUUUUUUUGAAAACGUCACUAACAAAUUUAAAUUCUUUUAUUGAAAUGACGUCGUUUUGAGAAAUAUUAAUACAUAGUAACGGCGUUUUUUGCUAAAAACGCCGCUAAAGCUCUCAUAUUUUUUAUAUUCAAUUAUUGUAUCUUUCAUAUAAAUUAUACAUAAAAGAAUUAUUAAAAUUUUAAGUAAUAUUUAAAAGAAUUAAAUAAUAUUAUAAAUUUAGUUUUCUUAUUUCAUUUUUAUUUUUGUAUUUUUUUCUUAUAAUUUGGUCCUAUCUAAAUUAAAUAAUUACCUAUAUAUCCAUAUCAAAUAUAUCAAAUGGUUUAAAUUAAAUAUUUUUAAAUAUAAAAGCAGUAAUUAAUUGUAUAAAAUUGUAUCAUUUAACAAAUCUCAAAUAAACCUUAAACCCUAAAUUAACCAUUCAAUAUACAUAAAGUCUAUCUAUUAUAUAUCUCUUACAUAAUAUAAACUAUACUCAUAAUUUCAAUAUAUUAAAUUUAUUAUUAUCUCUUUUACAAUUAUAUAAGAACAUAUUUAAUAUAUAAAUUAAAAAAUCAAUUAAUCUAAACCCUAAACCUUAACCCGACCCUUGAAACCCUAAAUCCCUAACUCCUAACCCCUAACUCUUAACCCCUAAACCUUAAAUCCCAACCCUUAAACCAUAAUCCCUAAAUCUAUAUAUAAUCCCCGAACCUUAAAAUAGUAACUCCUAAACUGGCUUUAAAUAUUAAAUUAACCAUAUACCGUAAACCAUAUAAACCCUAAACUAUAAUGAUAAUUAAUUAAAUAUUUUAAAAUUAAUACUAUCUUAUCUUUUUCAAUUAUAUAUGAAAUUAUUUAAUAUAUAAAUUAAAAAACAUCAAUAAAAUAUAAAUUAAAAUGCUUUUUUUUGGAUAAUUUAAUGAAUAUGGCAGGAUUAACUCUAAACCCCUAACCCCUAAAUUCUAAACUUAGCCCUAAACCUUAAACCCCAACCCUUAAACCAUAAACCAUAAACAAUAAUCCCUAAACUAUAAUGAUAAUUAAUUCAAUAUUUUAAAAUUAAUACUAUCUCUUUUACGAUUAUAUAAGAUAUUUUUAAUAUAUAAAUAUCAAACACGUCAUAGACACUUAAAACUUUGAGAUAGUUAUACUAUUUUUUAUUUCACUUAUAGGAACCUCAUACACUCAAGCACUGCAAGUCUUUUGUGAAUUAACCAAUGGUUAUGAAGAUCUACUACUUACGGUUAUCAAUGCCAGCUGGAAUCACAAAUAUUAACAAGAAUCAGACAUAGAUAGCAAAAUUAAUCAAGCACUUUCAAGGGACAUUCUAGCAGUUCUUUAAAGAAAUGGAUUUCAAUCCAAAAUUCAACAGUUCUGUAACUAGCCUAGCAGACAGAUGGAAAAAUAAUAUUUAUUUUAGAGAUCAGUCUACCUCUUAAGUGGAAUAACUUUCUAUAAACUUUAACCUUGUGAACUUUUUUAUUAAUAUAUUUCUUCUAAUACUUCUUAGAGAUAAUCACAGUCAAGAGAUUCAACCAUUAAGAUUCAAUGGAUGGUUAAUAUAAGACCAAACAAAGACAAUGCAUCUAAUUUAAUAAGCUCAGCAGUGCUCACGAAUAAAGCAAAACAGUGUAUAAGAAAUUAUUUAGUAUGUAAAUUAAAAAACACUCAGUAAUGUACCCAAAAAACUUAAAAACUAUUUUAAAUAAUAGUAUUUUAAAUCAUGUACCCAAAAAACUUAAAAAUAUUUUUUGCGGCGCUUUUUAAAAAACGCCGCUAAAAAUAGAGCAUUAGCGGCGCUUUAUCAAAAACGCCGCUAAAGACCAGAGCAUUAGCGGCGCUUCUUCAAAAAUGCCGCUAAAGACCCGAGCAUUAGCGGCGCUUCUCCAAAAACGCCGCUAAAGACCCGAGCAUUAGUGGCGCUUAUUCAAAAACGCCGCUAAAGACUCGAGCAUUAGCGACACUUCUUCAAAAACGCCGCUAAAGACCCGAGCAUUAGCGGCACUUCUUCAAAAAUGCCGCUAAAGACCCGAGCAUUAGCAGCGCUUUUCGAAAAAUGCCGCUAAAGCCCUGAAAAAUCAAAAAACGAUGUCGUUGUGCUUGGGUUUUUUGCGACGCUUUUUGAAAAAUGCCACUAAUGUUCAUUUUUAGCGGCGUUUUCCAAAAAACGCCGCUAAUACUGGAUCUUUAGCGGCGUUUUUCCUAAAGCGCCGCUAAUGCUUGAUUUUUAGCGGCGUUUUUUGUUCAAACGCCACUAAAAACGCCGCUAAAAGCCUAUUUUGGUGUAGUGAAUAAACAAGUAGAUUGAACGGCUGGGUAGGAGAUAGGCUGUUAAAACAGUUGUUGCCCAAAAGGUUAAAGUGUUGUAUAACCAAAACAUUGUGCACACGUUUAGUAUAGGUUCUAUUUUUUUUUCUUCAGCGGGUGGAGGACUUGGUACGGGUCCAGUGCUGGUUAAACCUAAAGAUGCGUCAUACUUGAGUUGGAAAUUCUGGGAAUUUGAAAUGGUACCAGGCUGCUUUGGAGGGUUCAAAGUGGCAGUGUAUGUGGCUGUUAUAAUUAGCACUGUGACUACUAAAAAUGUGUUACGC
RNAcentral lists this long non-coding RNA (36127 nucleotides) under Gossypium barbadense (sea-island cotton). RNAcentral describes it as "long non-coding RNA (GBAR_LNC020324)". Lineage: Eukaryota; Viridiplantae; Streptophyta; Magnoliopsida; Malvales; Malvaceae. The record is from RNAcentral.